UGGAGUCCAGCUGCCUGCCGUAAAUUUUCGCUCCAUCUCUGUCCCCCAGUGUGACCUUGGGCAUGUAGUGCUGCUCCCAGUGCCCCAGUUUCCUGCUCUGGGGAGUGAGGGUGACAGUGGUCCCACCCGCUGUAUGUGUGAGGGUUCGGCACCUGUCCGGACCCUAGGAAAGGCUUAGGAAACUAAGCCUUUUUUACUCCGGUUUUACGGGAAAGGAAACAGGCUCAAGACGUUUUAGUAACUUGCCCAGGGUCACCUAGUCAGCAAGUGGUAGGGCCCAGGCCUGGCCAACACACCCCCUACCCCCGCUACCAGCACAUUCUAGAAGGUUCUGCCUCAGCUUAAAUGGGGUGCAUGCUGUGAGGGCUAUCCCAGGUUCUUCCAGCCCAGCUUAUCUUUCCCUCCUCUGGGAGUCCCCUCACCCAUGUCUGGCACUCUCUCCCUAAUACCCUCUGGGGGCAGCUAAGGGCCUGAGUCCCUCUGGGCAUGAGCCCCUGACUCAAGCCCAUCAGACAGAAAUAAGGAGCUCAGGGAGCACCAGCUUCAUGGAUAAACGAUUGAAGGAAUGAAAGUCCGGCUCUGUCUUUCAGGUCUGAUCUCAGAGCUGAAGCUGGCUGUGCCCUGGGGCCACAUCGCAGCCAAAGCCUGGGGCACCCUGAAGGGCUCCCCAGUUCUCUGCCUGCACGGCUGGUUGGACAAUGCCAACUCCUUCGACACACUCAUCCCUCUUCUCCCGCAAGACUUGCAUUACGUUGCCAUGGAUUUUGGGGGUCAUGGGCUCUCAUCCCAUUACAGCCCAGGUGUCCCAUAUUACUUCCAGAACUUUGUGAAUGAGAUCCGAAGGGUUGUGGCAGCCUUGAAAUGGAAUCGAUUCUCCAUCAUGGGCCACAGCUUCGGUGGCGCCGUGGCUGGGAUGUUUUCCUGUACCUUCCCUGAGAUGGUAGAUAAACUCAUCUUGCUGGACGUGUCACCAUUUGCCUUGGACUUUCAUGUGAGAAGCUGGGCUUUCAUGCAUGCGGUCAGUGGGGAAGACCUGGGCCCCGGCCAGUCCUCUCAGCCCUGUCUCCUUUGGUGGACAUUAGGGAAGCAGGAGGAGAUGGCAGAGGGGGGAAAGGGAGUCGGGGACCUGCCCCCCAACAGAGGACAGCCUUGUGCUGCUUAUACCCCUAGGAGUGGUCAGGAGAACGGGUGUGGGGGACCCCUUGGAAACUGUGUGUGUGGCCUGGGAUCUGCAGAAUGCCAGGCUGGUCGUGCAGUGGCAGGUGGUGGAAGAGGGCAGGAGCCGUGGGUGCAGGACACUCUAGGGCACACCACUGCAGUCACACCCAGUCAAAUGCUUUUGCACUGCGUACAUGUUGCACAGCCACACAUGACAGCCCUAAGUGUGGACUGAUGGGACAAGUACUGACCCCUCUGGCCACCACUACCAGUCAUCAGUACUGUCCCUGUACCCGAGUCCUGGCUUGGUUGUUUACCUGCUGGGUGACCCUUGGCAAGUUACUUUGCCUCUCUGGGCCUUAGUUCCCUCACCUGUCAAAUGCGGUUGGACUCAAUGACCUGGCCAACUCUGACAUCCUGUCAUUUUCUUGCCAAGGGCUCAGUCUCUUGGUUGUGACACAACUCUCAUCAGUUUCAGUUUUCUUGUCCAUAGAAUGACCACAGAUCCCAUAAGAGCAAGAAUGACGUCUCUCUCUUUGUCACCACAUCCCCAGUCCUGGCACCUAGUAAGGGCUCAGGCAGUGUUCCUUCCAUGAGCUCAGCUAGCUCAGGGGCCAUGGUAAGGAUCCAAUUCACAGAUGGCAGGCAGCGGACACUCCCUUCUUUGUGUGUUUCACCCACUGAAUUAACAAGCGCAAUGCCCCUGGGGGCUUCCUCCUGGGAAGUGGAGAAUUUGCUGACCUACAAGCGGAGAGCCAUAGAGCACAUGCUGCAGGUAGAGGCCUCCCAGAAGCCCUUGCACG
Molecule: RNA transcript, 1961 nt
Organism: Sapajus apella (tufted capuchin)
Lineage: Eukaryota; Metazoa; Chordata; Mammalia; Primates; Cebidae
Gene: SERHL2
Gene name: serine hydrolase like 2
Exons: 6
Source: RefSeq, a predicted model, not a curated record